CUUUUGUGUUUUAUAGGUAAAAAUAUAUUAAGAACCUUUUAAUUAUAGUGCAUUUUGAAAUAAGUCCUUUCAACUUUAAAUAUUUUAUUUAUACAUUCUUAACUUUCCAAUUAUUUUGAUAAGCUAAUUUAUUUAACUAAAUAAAAUGGUAUGCUAAAUUUAAUAGCACUGUUAGAUAUUUGGUUAUUAUUAUUUUAUUAACAAAAAUUUAAAAAAUUUAAAUUCUAACUAAAUUGCUAUUAGAUUUAGUAAAAUUCUUAAAUUAUUUGAAUGAAAUAAUGUAAAUAAAAUAAUUAGAAGUUAAGCGAGUGUAAAUUAAAGAAAUAAAUUUAAUAUUUUUUAAUAUUAAUUAUCUAACCACUAAAUUUUUUUAUUAAAAAUUUGAAUAGUUAAAAUUUUAUUUAUCUGCUAAAUAUUUUAUUUGUAUAUAUUUUGUCCUUCUUUGUGAUUGAAUUCUGGCUUCGUUCCUGAGCGUACGUGUUUUUACCGGUCAUUUGACGUGACGAUAGUUAACAUCUUAUUUAUUAGACGACUAAAGUGUAACUUGUACACAACGGAUAGAGUGUACAAGUGCUAUUUUUCGGGGUUUUUUUAAACAUUCAACCCUCUUAAAAUUUUUAUUUUUAUAAAUAAUUCUAAUAAAAUUUAUUAUUUUGCAUAAAUAGUUUUCUUUUUCCCACACCAGCGCUUAGAUGGCCAUUUUAGAUUGAACACGGUGAUUCAAUUAUAAUUUUUUUACAUUUUUUAUUGCUUCUAGAUUAAAAAAGAGAAACUGGAGUAUGAAUACGAAUACAGUGAUCUAAUUAUCGUGUUCAAUAAAAAUAACAACGUGGUGUUCACACGGCAAAGAGAGAGUCAUAUAUGCAAAUAUAAAUUUAUAGGUCCAUUCAUAAAAGAGAAGUUUUAAGGGAGUAAAUAUAAAAAGUCUUUUAUUUAUGCUUCGUUUGGGAUUGCGGGGAGAUUGCGUUAUGUGCGGUGAGAAAGUUCGAUGAAAAAAUAUUAUAUUUAUUUUCGUACGUAAUAUUGCGUUCUGCAUAUUGUGAUGAGUCGGUUAUAAUAUAUUUUCUACGGUCCCACCGGAGAACACAGAAGCAUAUCCCUAUAUGCUUUUUUCUUAACUCCAUUUUAUCUGACAAUGUCAGAUUGACCUUAAUACCAAACUAUACCAAACUAAGCCUUAGUCUUUCUGAUAUGUAAUCUUAUUUUUAGUCUUUCUAAUAUGUAAUCUUAUUUUUGGUGUGAUUGCUAAGAAUUUGUUAACUAUAUCUAUUAAUCUAUUAAAUAUAAGAGUUAAAUGCAUAUAGGUCCUUACAAAUAUAGUGAAUUUCAAAUAUAUUUCUAUAAAGUUACUGUUAGAGAACUAUUUAUAUGUCCUUUAAAUAUAUUUCAAAUAUAUUUCUAUAAAUUUCAAAUAUAGGUCCUUCAAAUAUAUCCCUCCGAUUUGUUACUGUUAGAGAACUAUUUAUAUUUUAACAGCAGAUAAAUAAAAUGUCAAUUUUGCUAUCACAUAUAUGUCCCUUCAAAAGUCACAACAGUUAUAAUCUUGUAGAAAUAUCCCCCAAAAAUAUUUCAAUGAUUAUCUUUCUUUCUAAACUUCUUCCUUUUCAAAAUCCAAUCCAUUCCACGAUUAUUGCAACCUCUUUUCUCACUCCUUUUUUUUUCUAAAUAUUUUUUUCUAAGCAAAAAAAAAAAAAAAUCAUAAAGAAAAUUGAAUGAGAAAGCAAUACGCGUUUGAUAGAGCGAAGCCACAUGCAUCGUGGAUGAAUGGAGACAGAGAAAUUCUAAUUAUGAAUUCGAAACUUGCAUAAAGGAAAGAGAGAAAGAAGAAGAGGAAGAAGAAGAGGUAUAUCCCAUAUGCUUUUUCUCAACCCCAUUUUAUCUAACUAGUGUUGAACCUGCGCUUCGUUGCGCCCAAUUUUGACACUAAUAUUCUAAUAUAAAUUUUAAAAUAAUUUUAAUGUCAAUAUUUUGAUGUGAAUUAUUAUAUAUAAUCAUAAAAAAAGACAAUACAAUCAGGUAUAUAGCAGAAUAUAUAAAAUCUGCAGCCAAAUGUAAUCCAUUCAUAGUCAAUUAAAGGAUUUUUUGGUUAGACGUAUGGAAUUAGUGCAAAAAUUUUAUGAACACUGUGUUCAUAUGAAAUUAUUUGGGGAUAUUUUGGAUGGACGCCAUGUGGCACCACGGCCACGUGGGACAUCAUCCCGCUGCUCUGCCUGUUAGGAGAGCAGUGGAAUUUUUUUCGAUGCACCAGGUUCACCUCUUUUUCUUUAAAAUUUUAUUUUUUAUUUUUAAAUAUAAUUUAAUAUAAUAGAUAUAUAUUUUAUGAUAUCUAAAAAUAUAUAUGCAAAAGGAUUUUAAAUCAUAAACCAUAAAUUCUUUUACAUAUAUUUUUAAAAUAUCAUAAUAUAUAUUAGAUUAUAAUUAAAAAAUAAAAAAUAAAAUUUUAAAACAAAAAAAUGGUGCACCGGGUGCACCAAAAAAAAACCAGUACUCUCCCAAAAGCAGAGUAACGGGGCGUGGGGAGGUGUUAUGCGGCGCCCAUCGGAGGCGUCCGAGUGCCACGCGGCGGCCAAACGCCGUAUCCCCAAAUUUCUUUCUAUGGGCACAAUGCCAGAAAAUUUUUGCCACUUCUUCACCCCCUUUCACCACCAUUUUUCUCUUUUAUGCUCCCGAAGCAGACCCUUUUCCCCUUUUAUGCUCCCAAAGCAGCGGGAUGGUAAAUAGGCUUCGACUCGUCGCUGGCGAAGGGUAUAGAUCAGGCUCGGGUCGUCGACGAUGGACACAGCGGCGGCAACAGCUUGGACGGCUUGGGCGGUGGACACAGCAGCAACGACGGCUUCAGCGAUGACGACGGCAGACGCGAUGGCGGUGGCGGCCGCAGGCGUGGUGGGCGCGGUGGUGGUCGCGGAUGCGAUGGACGCGGUGGCGGCGACUUCCUGUCAACUGCAAAUAUAUAUAUAUAUAUGUAUAUUUUUUUUAAUUUGUAAUUUUUUUUUAAUCCUUCUCUUCUUCUCCACUCUCUUUCUCUUUUUUUUUUUCUCUCUCUUUUUUUUUUUUAAACUUCUUCCUUAAUGUUCACAGUACGCUCUUUUUUUUUUUUCUAUUUUUUUAGUUUUUUUUAAGUAUGGAUGAAGCCUCCUCUUGUGCCGUCCGCGGAUCCUCCGUGUGAUUCCCCCCCUGCUCGAGCUUCUUUCUCAAGUUAUUUAUAAAGCUCAAGUAUAAAUUUUCAAAAUUUUCUCAUAUCUUAAAGAGAUUUUUAAGAUAUUGGGAAAUAUGUGAUUCCGGAUUUUUCGGAAUUUUGUUGACUGGGUAGAGGCCCUAAAAAAAAAUUGCAUGACAUGCAAGCACAAAAAAGUGCCACGUAUAUUUUUAGAGACUGUCAAAUUAUGUAUUUGUUAAGGAUAGCAUUAGAUCCAUCUCAAUAGCAAACUAAGCCUGAGUAUCACAAAGAAGGCCACAUUUAAGACUGUAUAUAUGCAAAUGCGGACACCACAUUUUAGGUAGAAUGGCAUGGAGGCCCCUCAAAUAUAAGGAAUUGUGAAAUACAUCCGUCGGCUUUAUUGAUUUAUUUAUUUUGUUGGCACCCUUCAGUUUCUAUGUUUGAAAAUAUUUGCUGAGAACCAGUCAACUAUAAACAAUUUUGACAUAAUAAAAUUCAGUUUCUAGAAUAUUGUUUUAAUAUUCUAAAUUAUAUUUAACAGUAUCCAUCAUUAAUUUAAAAACUCUAUCAUCAAAAAUAAUUUAUAAGUAUGAAAAUAAUUCUACUCAUUAUAGUAUAGUAGUAGGGCUGGCAAACAAGCGAGCCGGCUCGUGUUCGACUCGUGUUCGGCUCGAUAUUCGGCUCGCUCGAGCUCGACUCGAAAUUAAAUGAGCCGAGCUUGAACAAAAUAAAAGGCUCGAAAUUCAUUUCAAGCCGAGCUUGAGUAUUACUCGGCUCGUUCGAAUUAGGCUCGAAAAGCUCGAAAAGCUCGAAAAUAUAUAUAUAGGCUGGGGCUACUAUACUCUUAUGAGUAUAGACCCCCUUGUACUCAUAAAUUUUUAACCGUUGAUUGAUGGAUGUAUGGUUAGGAUGAUGGUGGUCCCCACUUAGAAUGACAGUGGUCCCCUAGGGUUGAGUGGGUAGUUGGUUAAAUAGUAUGAUCUAACGGAUGAAAAUGAUUAAUGGAAUAAAUCUAAGGGUCGAAAACUUAUGAGUAUAAAGGAGCCAAUACUCAUAAAAGUAUAGNAUUAUUGUUGGCCCAUAAAAUAAACCCAACAAGUACAAUCGUACAAUUGAGCCCAACUCUAAAUUUACAUAACACACUAUCUUUUUUAGACUUUCACUGUUGCACAUAACCCUAAAACAUAAUAGCAUUCAAAUUCCCAAAUGCCUACUUUUUUUCCUCUCUCUCUCUCUCUCUCUCUCUCAGACCCUCAUCUAGUCAGGAAGUCACCUUAGCUCACAUUUCUUAUAAUUAUUUUGUAUUUUGAACUAUUGGAGAUGUUGCAUUAAAUUAUAGGUAAUGUUCUACAACAAUUAAACUAUUGAUUAUAUAAUGUCGAGAAUUUCAAUCAGCUCGUUUAGAGCUCGAGCUCGGCUCGACGCAAAAUUAGGCUCGCUCGAGCUCGGCUCGAAUUAAUUUCAAGCCGAGCUUGAGCCUAGAUUUAGGCUCGAAAUUAAUUUCAAGCCGAAUUUGAGCUGACAUAAGCUCGCUCGAGCUCGGCUCGUUUCCACCCCUAUAUAGUAGUCUCUCUCACUCUAUAUAUAUAUACAUAUAUUACUUCUAUUUUUUAAAUAUUGAUUUAAACUAUUCUGAUUUUGGUUAAUUUUCUUAAAAUUUCAUAUAAAACUUUUUUUUUCCUAAAUUACUGCACAUAUUUUAUAAAAUUAAUGUUAUAAAUUUUUAAAAUAAAAAGAAAAAAGAAAAAAAAACAAAAAUAAGCUAGUCCAUGGCCCGAGACUGUUCGGCCCAGUUUAGAUUUGUUUCCACUAGGGGCCGUGCCGGCCCAUGGUUGAGGAAAAAGUGACCCGGCUUGUAGGGAUGUCAACCGGUCGGAUUUGGAAUGGGUUUUUCAAAACCUAAAUCCGAGCCUAACGAAUUUUGAAAAUUUAUAUCGUAAUCCAAAUUCGACCAAAAACACGAAGCCCACAUCUAAACCCAAACUCGAAAUAAUUAUUUCUCUUUACUAUAUUUCAAAUAUAUAAUAUUAAAACCUAAAUUUUUAAAAUACAAGUUCGGAUAUAACAUCAAAUACUAUAUAUAUAUAUAUUAUAUAAUAUAAAAUUAAUUCUGGUUCAAGUCAGGUGGGACAAAAUGCAUACCCAGCUCUAAUCAAAUUCACAUUAAUCACGAUAAAAUAAGCUACGUCAACUCCAGUAAAAUCAUUCAUUAACGAAACGGACAGUAUGCUACCUUUCUCUCUAAAAAAAAAAAGAUUACUGUCAUGGUCAGAAAUCUUCAGAUCAACCUCAGCAUUAACUUUUUCUAACUUCUGGAAGAGUAUGAUAACACUCGUAACUCGACAUCAAGGAAGCUGACUACUCCAAAUGAGAUGGCAGGUAUUGUGUGUAAAGUCAAAGCAUUCCUAGACGCAUAGAAAGAUAUUGAGAGUAAUAAGAUCGCGCUUGACAUGAUGGGUGCGCAUAUGGGAGAAGAGAUUUAGGCCCAAAGUGCAAAAUUCGGAAAUGGUUAGAGACGAUAGUGCAAUUAAUUCUAAGGUUAAGGAUCUGAUUGCGAAAUAAAAGAUUGGAUCCCAAGAGAAACUUCGGGUCGGGUAAAGAAUACGGACCAAUGGUGCAACUAAACAAGUAAGGAGCUCCUUCUAAAGUGAUGGAAGGUUUUGUAGGGUUCAUGUAGAAGUGUAAUGCACGCUGUGCCCAUGAGGCCCAUUAUUUAGAAAUUUUAUGUGGAAUUUGAAUUUACAAAUAAAAUUAAUUAGAAUGUGAAAUUAAAUUUAUAAUUUUUAUUCAAAUUUAAAGUAAAAUUUAAUUUUAAAAAUAAAUUCAUAUAUUAUUAAAGUUAAGACCAAAUAUAACCUCUUAAUUAAACUCUCCGCUUUCAAUGACUUCAAAAUCUUUUUAGCCAAAGUAAAAAAAAAUGAAAUUUAAUUAUAACUUACUUUAUCAGCACAGUUUUAUAAAGUGGGUUUUACAUUUAUUUUUAUAAAUCAAAUAAUCGAUAAUACGUUACAUUAUAAAAAUAUCACUUUUGAUACUUCACUCUCGACCAAUCAAACAUACCCUAAAUCAAAGUAAAAUGUUUAAGAGGAGAACAACUCUAUACAAGAUAAAACACCACAGAUGAUGUAACAUGCACAAAAGAUUCAGCUACAUAAGCACCCCAAAUAUAAUUAAGCACGGGAACAAGUACACAACCACCUUAAUAACUGAACUAGCACAAGAUCUAAAGAAAACCCUAGAAUAUAGCAGUUGCAUACGUGAUAUGAAGUCUAAACAAAUUAUUUUUCCUAGAAUUACUCAUUCUACCAUUGCUUCUUAAAAAAAAGAAUUAUUAUUACUAUACUUUUCUCUUCAAAACAAAAUGAUUCGUCAGAAAUAAAUAAUAUGACGUGACUGCUACAUAAUUAACUUCCUUUAAUAUUUGAGUGUUACUAACUGGCAUCAUAUAACAUCAAAAAUCAAAAAAGUUGGAUUAAUCGAGUGCUUUUUUUGCAUUUAGUCUCUUGACAAAUUUUUAUUUUAAAAAUAGUUCUGUUAAAAUUUAAUUUGCAAAAAUGAUUCUGGGCCUGUCACGCAGGCGCCACGUCAGCGCCACGCGGACGGGGCCAGGACCAAUGUGUUAAGUUAAACACAGUGAACCAUUCACCGUGUUUAGUAUGUAUUUUUUGUAUGUUGAAAAAAGUAAUACAUGGAGUAGGAAUGUCAAUAGGUAUGGAUAUCCGAAAUAUUAUCCGAACCCAAAUCUGAAUAAAUUAUAUAUAUAUAUAUAUAUAUAUAUAUAUAAUUUAUUCGGGUUUGGAUUCGGAUAAUAUUUCGAAUAUCCAUACCUAUUGACAUCUCUACUCUCUAUUCCUCUUUUCAACAUAUAAAAUAUACAUAGUAAACACGGUAAAUCAUUCACCGUGUCUAAAUACGGUGAAUAGUUCACCGUAUUUAACUUAACACAUUGGCCCUGGCCCCGCCCUCAUGGCGCUGACGUGGCGCCUGAUUCUUGUAAAUUAAAUUUUAAAAAGAUUAUUUUUAAAAUAAAAAUUUGCCAGCAGACUAUAUGCAAAACAAGCCCAUUAAUCGACAAAAUCUUAUAGAAGAGAAUUAUUCAUAGACAUAAUAUUUUUCUUAUUCAAAACAUCAAACAAAUCUUACAUAGACGCAAUACACAUAAAUAGUUAUUCAAAUUUUGUCGUGUUGGAUUUUAUUCUUUGGUUGCUAUCGCAGUAAUUAUAAAAAUUCGAUGUACGUACUAUAUUCUUUUGAAAAAUAUACUGUCGUAGCAGCGUAGGACUUUUUUUUGAUCAUGUUGGUAUGCUCAAGUUCUCUUUCGGGGCACGAUUCUCGCUCGGAGCGGCGUCUUCAUGACAACGCUGAACUCGACCUUUUCCGUCAUGUCGAUCUCCCCCCCCUUCCGCUGCCGGCUUCCACUCGAACUCCUUCACCAAAUUCGCAACAAAGUAUUCGAGGUGGAGCAGCGCGAGCCCCAUCCCGGGGCAAAUCCUCGGCCCCGCCCCGAACGGCAUCAUCCUGAUCUCCCGACCCCCCCUUAUGUCCACCCCCUCCCCCUCCCCGCCUUCCAGGAACCUCUCCGGUCGAAACUCCAUCGGCGCCGUCCACACCGCCCGGUCCCACCCUAUCUCCGCCACUGCAAAAGUCACCACCGCGCCCUUCGGAAUCCGAUACCCCUCGAAUUCUGCCUCCUCCGUCACUGUGUGCGGCGGCACAAAGUGCCCCGGCGGGUGCCGCCGCAGCCCCUCCAGCACCACCGCCUUCAGAUACGGCAUCCGCUGCAGAUCCUCCUCUCGCACCACCGUGUACUCGUUCGUCCCUACCACACGUUCAAUUUCCUCGUAUAGUUUCGACUGUAUGUCGGGACUUUUUACGAUGUUCGCCAUGAUCCACUGCAGCGCAGUGACGGUCGUGUCGGUGCCGGCGCUCAGAAACUCGGAGCAAAGGCUGACGAUCUCGCCGUCCGUCAGCUUCCUUCCGCCGUCCUCCGGAAUUUCAAGAUCGACCAGCGAGUCGACGUAUGAAUAAACGAAUCCGUCUUCCGACCGCUGCUGCCGCAGCAGCAGAUUCCUCCCGCAUCGAUCAGCGGAACGUACGUCUCCUCCUGCUUCCUCCGAAAAUCCAAAAGCUCCUUCCACCGGCUCCGGAAAAGCAGCUUGGUGAUCUUCGGAUACACGGCGAAGACGCCGAAGCUGAGGAAGUUGGUGAAGAGCUCCCUCUGCAAGGACGCGAUCUGGCGUAUCUCAUCGUCGAGCCACUCGCCGAAGCACAUGAAUGCGAGCAAGCUGAACACAGCGAACUGGAAGCUCUCCAUGACGACGACGGCAGCUGCACCGCCGCUCGAUUUGGUUUCAAGAUCUUUUAGGAGCACGUCGAGGACCUGUCGCCGCGCGGGGGGGUAGACGCCGCGCCGCGAGGGGUGCAGCACCUUCGUGGCAAGGUUGCGGCGGAAGGCGCGCCAGACAGGGCCGUAGGGGGCGCUGGUGACAUUGUGGCGGUUGCUGAAGAUGACGAGGCCGGGGUCGAUGGCCGGGGGACGGUCCGCGAACAUGGCGCCACGCCCGACCAGGGCGCGGUGGGCGAGCACGCGGUCGGAGACGAAGAUGGGCAGUCGGGGGAACGACAGCAGGCGGAAGCUGACGACCGGGCCGUGCUGGCUGUGCAGGCGGCGGAGGAAGGCCUCUAAGUCGAAUUCCAAUAGGCAGAAGAGCGCGAAAAAUGUGGCGAGGAUGGAGAGAGGCCGCGGGCCCGGCGGCAGGGGGAGGGAGGCAGUUUUGUGCUGCCGCGGCGGUGUCUGCAGGAGGGAGGAGAUAAAGAAGGUCAUCACAAGUAUGAGUAUGAAAAUGGCUAGUGCUGCAGGAUAGAAGAGCCAAUGUUCCUCCAUUCGUGCUGAGUGAGAGAAACGGAGAGCUAAGUGAGGGAGGCUGGCAGAUUUGCUUAUUUCGAUUACUACUAGUUUAUAUAGUUUUUUUUUCUUUUUCUUUUUCUUUUUCUUUUUCUUUUUUUUUUUUUUUGGCGUUUAGCACACUCAAUUUUUUUGGGUAAACUUUAAACACCAACUCUGUAGUUUCGCACUUUUUUACAUUAAUAUUAUGUGAUUUAAAGUGCAUCAAAUUAGUACCAUGUGGUUUUAUUUUUCUCUUCUAGUCAACUCCUCCAUUAAUAUUUCGUUAAAUUAUAUAUAAAAAACUUCAGAUACCGCACAUAGGUUUAUUCAAUAUUCCCCUUAGGGUGUGUUUGGUUCGGGUUAUCCAAGCAGGAUUACAGGCAGGAUUAUAGGCAAUCCAGGCAGGAUUACCGUGUUUAGUUCAUCCGAUAUGUAAUCAGGUUGUUAAUGUAGCAUUAUAAAUGGUGCAAGAUUACACCAAAAAUAUUAACAAGAGGGGGUGUGUAUUUUGCAUUACUGAAAGCCAGUAAUAUUGCAUAUUAUGUAAAAUAACAAUUUUAUUCCUCUAACUUUCGAAACUCUUUCAAUACGUCAAUUUAAAAAAUUUAAUUUAAAAUUUUGAAUUGUCAACUUUUAAAUUUUAAAUUUUGAAUUUUAAAUUUUUAAACUUCAAANUCAUAUUUCAUAUUUUAAAAUUCAAAUUUGUAUUUUAAUUUCUGAAUUUUAAAUUUAUAUUUUUAAUUUUUAAUUGUAUAUUUAUAUUCAUUUUUAUAUUUUAGAUUUUAAAUUUAUAAAUUUCACACUUAUAUUUUAAAUUAAAAUAUUUAAUUUAUAUUUUUGUUCAAAUUUAAAAUUUAAAAUUUAAAAUUUAAAAAAUUAAAUUAUUUAGAAUAAAUUUAGUAAAAAAAUAUUAUUUGUAAAUAGUAAAAAAAAAGAUUACAAAAUAUGACUAAGGGCAAUUUUGGAAUAGACUAUAUUUUAUUGUCUAACCAAACAUAAUAAUACUAUAAACACUGCAAUCUAGCAUUACAUUACUAUAUUAAAUCAAACGCACUAAUGCAACAUAAGUACUAAUCUCAUUUAGAAAUCCAAAAUACCUGAAUAUAUCGAAAUACUCUACAAUAUUAUAUAACUUGAACCAAACGCGCCCAUAGUAUCAUUUAGUUUUCACUUUGUCACUGAUUUAACGAAAUAAAAUUAGUAGAAUGGAUGAUAAAAAAAAAAAAAUGAAACCACCAAGUCCUAAGUGAGAAAGUGUGAAACUAUAAGAAUGGUAUUUGAAGUUUUUUCUUCUUUUUUCCAAUGGCCCUAACAAUUAUUCUUUUUUAUAUUCAACUUAAGCUACACCAUGAACAAAGCUCAUUAAUCAUAAUCUCGUAAUUAUAUGAUAUUUUUUCAAUUUCAAAAUAACAAAAAAUUUGUAAUUUAAUUAGAAAAAUAUAUAUCAUUAAAAUUAAUGUUAUUCGAUACGCACAUCCAAUGAGUAUCAUGAAGAAGGCCAUAUCUAUCUAUCUAUUAUCUAUAGAUAUAUAUAAUUUUGAGUUUUACUGUGGUCUACGUGUCUUCACUGUAUGUUGACACGUGUCCCAUCAACAAAUUAGGUAUAUUCGGUCCACCAGAGAUCUUAUAAAAACUUUUAUUUUAUUUUAAUGUAUAUUUCUAAAUUUUAUAAUUUUUAAUAUAUAGACUUUUAUAUUAUAAACUAAAUUUAAUUAAUUAAAUUUUAUUUUUAAAUUUAAAUUUACUGGUGUGCGUAUGAAAUGUAAAUAUACAUCAGGUGCAGGCAAUAAUUUCCAAUAGAGAGGAGCACUGAUUGUGGACAUGUGUCCAUUUUAUUGGCGCACCCGGUGCACCAUGGACCCAAUAAACAAAUAUAAUUUUAUUUUAGUGAAUAUAUCUAAAAUUUAUAAAUAUUAACAUAUAGAUACUUUAAAUACUAUAAAAUAAAUACCAUGGAGUGUAUGAGAUGUAUAUGUACACUAGGUGCAGUCAACAAUUUCAUUAAAGGGUGCAGUCAACAGUUCCAUUAUUAAAGGCCAAGUGCCCAUUGUGGAACACUCUUCAUUUGUUGACACGUGUUCCAUCUAUUAAUUCAGUGUACCUGGUGCACCAUAAAUGCUAUAAAAAAUUUUAUUUCAUUUUAAUAUAUAUAUAUAUAUAUCUAAAUUUUAUACUUUUUAAUAUAUAAACAUUCAAAAUACUAUAAAAUAAAUUUAAUUAAUUUUAUUUUCGACAUUUCUAUCAUAUAAAUUUACUGGUGUGUAUGAAAUGUACACAUACACCAGGUGCAGGCAAUAAUUUUCAAUAGAGAGGAGUAUUAUUUUGUGGACAUGUGUCCAUUCCAAUUGGUGCACCCGGUAAACCAUGGACCCAAUAAGAAAAAUAUAAUUUUAUUUUAGUUAAAUAUCAAAAAUUUAUAAAUAUUAACACAUAUAAAUUUUAAAUAUUAUAAAAUUAAUAAAUUAAAUUUGGCAUCUCUAUUGUACAAAUUUAUUGGUUUAUAUGUGAUGUAUAUGUACACUAGGUGCAGUCAAUGAGUUCGACUAAAGGCCACUUUGAAUUAAGCCGACAACUAUUUUAAUUUGAUUAAUAUCUUAUCAACUUUUAAUUGUUUCAAUUUGAGCUAUUUUUUAAAUUGAUCGGAAGAUUUGUUAGAUUUAAUAGUUUCAUUGCCUAUCAACUAUUAAACCAAUUGGAGUACUCUUCCACUUUUUGUCAAUUAUUUAUUGUAAGUCAAAAUUUAAGAAAAUUGUAUCUAAUUUUUCUAACAUUGGUGCUUAAUUUUGCUAAAACUGGGAUUUCUUACAAAAUUAUGUAUAUAUUCAUAAAUUCUAGAAAAACAUCAUAAAAUCAGUCAAUUAAAAAACUACAAAUUAAGUAACUAUUUUUUAACUUGUCAUAGUAUUUUCAAUUCUCAAUAUUGCUUACAUGGGUCGACAAAAAUGACCAGAAUAGAGUUAGAAUAAUAAAAAGUAAAAGAAUACAAAAUAGAGAUAUAUAUCUUUUGGACAAAUUGGCCGAGAAAAUAAGCAUAUUACAAACUUUCCUCAUUUUGCUUUAGAAAAUUUUGAAAGUUUACGAAACCCUAAAAAUCUAAAUAGAAACUAUCAAAUAUCCAGAGACAAAACUGUAUUUUGGAAUCAAAUGUUGAUAAAAAUAUGUAUUUAAUAUAUAUAUAUAUAUUUAGAAUAGGUAGCGCGCUACAAGCUUUAUUCAUUGGAUGGAUGAACUAGGCUACAGAGGUGAGGCAACCAGGGCCUCUGAAGAUAAAAAAAAAAAAAAAAAAACCGCUAAUGUCGUUCGAGGAGGAUUUCCCACGAAUGUAGUAACAAUUUAAGCCUUUGUACGGCCAAAAUCGGAUCAGGUAGGAUGUUUCGAAAAAUCAGAUCAUUUUUGACCUUCCAAAUCGUCCACCAGCAGGCAACGAGUUCCGGGAGGCUGUUGCUCUUAGUAUGCCCUCCUUUCCUAAUCUUCCACCUAUCCCAGACUUGAUACACCUCGUCCCCUAGCUCUCCUGCCGGCGCUCCCUCCAUACCCAUGACCAUGAUGAACUUGAAAAAAACGCAAUGAGUGAAUAUAUGAUCCACCGUCUCAUCAUGGGCUCUGCAUAGCACACAGACUGUGUCGCCAGUCCACCCCCGCUUUACAAAGUUAUCUGCUGUAAGGGUCUUUUUCUUCAGGACCGGCCAAGAAAAUACUUUGACCUUGAGCGGUAGUCGGAGGGUCCACAUCUUUAUAGCUCUUUCGUCCCUCGUUCCCCCGUCACUCAACAUAGUGAAGGCCGAUUUGACCGAAAAAUCACCGUAGACACUCCAUCUCCACCAUAGCUUAUCCGGUCUUUGCAUUACUUUAUAACUACCAAUCUCAUUCUUGAGUGCCAACAGGUUGGCCGUCAGUCCUGUCGUAUUCUGCGACUCGUCGCCAAGAAUUUUCGGCCAAUUCCAAACCUCCCUAUCGUAGCAAUCCCUAACCGAAAGGGGUUUACGAUUAGUCAUCGCAUAGAUCUCCGAGAAUGACGCUUUGAGAGUGGAGUCCCCACACCACCAAUUUGACCAAAAGUCAAUAGAGCUCCUAUUGCCCAGUUUAUAGGAAAUACCCCAAUCGAAGAUAAAAUUGGUGUGGACUCCCGUCCACCAAUACGAGAGGGGUCUAAAGCAUUUUCCUUCCCUCAGAGGUCGUCUUCUUUGGUAAUACAAUUCUCGAAUAAUUUUGACCCACUGCAGGUGUGGAGCUGUGUGAAAUCUCCACAACCAUUUGACCAGGAGAGCUCGAUUCAUGAUCUCCACGUCUAGAAUGCCAAGCUCACCUUCACUCUUGCUCACACAAACGUUCUUCCAUGCAACAAGGCACCCCUUGCCCGAGGAGAUACUUUGACCACUCCAGAAGAAAUCUCUGCGUAUAGCUUCAAUGGGGUCGAUCACCGAUUUGGGUGCCUUUAAUACCGAAAGAAAAUACAGAGGUAGGUUGGUGAGAACAUCGUUGACCAGGAUGAUUCUACCCCCUCGUGAUAGAANGCCACUAAACAACCUCUGCCAGGAUAGUUCCUAUUACCCUUCCAAAAGAAGUCUCUGCGUAUAGCUUCAAUGCUCUUGAUCACCGAUUUGGGUGCCUUUAAUACCGAAAGAAAAUACAGAGGUAGGUUGGUGAGAACAUCGUUGACCAGGAUGAUUCUACCCCCUCGUGAUAGAAGCUUGGCUUGCCAUCCAUCAAUUCUAUUCAGCAAUUUCUGAAUGAUCCCUCUCCAUACCUCCUUUGUGGGGGGUUUAGGGGAGAGAGGAAAGCCAAGGGAAGUGGUAGGGAGAGAACCCACUGUAUAGCCGAGAAUUUUCGCAAGUCUAUCCGUUUUGCCCUCAGCCUGUCCAAGGUAGUAGAGUUCGAACUUCUCGCUAUUAAUUUUCAAUCCCGAAGCCCACUCGAAAAGCUGCCACAUCAGUCGGAGAUUUCACAUAUAUCUUUUCCUAGCCUCAGAGAAGAAGAAAAUAUCAUCCGCAAAUUGUAUGAGACUAGUUUUGCUUUCGUUAGACGGCCCAAUACCCUUAAAUAGGUUGUUAGAAAUGGCCUCGUUGGUCAUUCUAGAAAGACAUUCCGCCACCAUCAGAAACAGGAGUGGUGAUAAAGGGUCUCCUUGGCGUACUCCUCUUCGUCUUGAUCCACUUGGUCGCCUCACCAUUGACCAAAAUGGCAACCUUAGCGUUGCACACACACUGCUUGAUCCACCUACACCAUUUUUCGUCAAAUCCCCACCACUGAAGAACACUUUGAAGAAAGGGUCAGUGAAUCCUAUCAUAUGCUUUCUCGAAAUCCACCUUUAUACCGACCCCCUCGAAAUUCUUCUUGCUACCCCACCCCAGGAUUUUUGAGACAGUGACAAAAGCAUCAAUGAUGCUCCUCCCCUUCACAAAUGCGAAUUGGGUAGGGGAUAUAAGAUCACUCAGGACCUCUGUGAGUCGGUUGGCUAGGACCUUCGACAGGAUUUUCUGUACGCCGUUAAGGAGGCUAAUUGGUCAAAAGUCGUUCGCUCUCUCGGCCCCUUCCUUUUUCGAAAUAAGGCAUAUAAAGGUGUAAUCGAUUGAGGCAGUGGACAGUGAACCCUCGUAGAUUUCCUGGAACAGGUUUAGCAAAUCGAUCUUAAUGGUGUCCUAAAAGGUUUGGUAAAACCUUAAUGGGAAUCUGUCCGGGCCCAGAGCUUUAUCACUUCCCAGUUGGAAAACCGCUUGCCUUAUUUCGGUCAUGCUGAAAUUUUCCGUUAGCCUCCUGAGCAUAGGGGCUGAAAUGUGGUUUGUGGUAAACAGCCUACUCCAAUCCCCGACAGUAGACGGCGCCGACUCAUCUGGCGUGUAUAGCUCUUUAAAUUUUUGAUAAAAAUACUCUUCUUUUUCCUUUUCUGAUUGGUAGACAAGUCCAUUGUCGACAACCACUCCAAUCUCGUUGGCUCGCCUUCUCCCAUUAGCUAUGCUAUGGAAGUAUUUUGUGUUACUAUCUCCCUCCCGCAACCAGUCCUGAUUCGCUCAGGCCCUCCACAAGGCAGCUUCAUCGUUCAGGACCCGUCAUAACUUCUCUUUUAGCUCGUCUCUUUUCGCACCUAAUUCCGCUAAAAGUACGCCUUGUUCCUCGGCUCGGUCAAUCUCUUGAAUUUCACACAUAAGGAAAUUUUUGACCCCUCUAAUACUAUAGAACUCGUUAUUGCACCAUUCUUUAAUUCUAUGCCGACAGUGCCUCAACUUUGCAGUGAAAGUAAGUACUGCUGAAUUUUUCGAAGCACCCUCCUUCCAUCAAUCCGGUAGCUUGGCUAUGAAGCCCUCAUGGUUGAGCCAUACUUCCUCAAAGCGAAAAUAAUUCUUCCUCCCCUUGUUUCUCCUCUCAAUUGUUAAAAGAAUGGGGCAAUGAUUCGAAGUAACGCGAGGAAGAACUUCCACUUUGGUCAACGAGAAAUCCAUGUCCCACUCCGUCGACACUAGGAAUCGAUCAAGUUUCGCGAGGAUUGGGGUAUCUUGCAUGUUGGACCAAGUGUAGGAUUGAUUCAUCAAAGGUAGGUCGAUUAGCGCUAAAUUUCUGAUGAGGUCAUUAAAUAGCGCCAUCGCUCUAGCGCUCUAGGUCUUCCCCCUCCUCUCCUCCUGCCUCCUAAUGUUGUUGAAAUCGCCGCAAAUGAUCCAUUUUCCUUCACAUUCUGUUUUCAAUUGAGCCAGUUCCGAAAAGAACUCCUCCUUCCGAUCCCAAAUUGCAGGCCUGUACACGUUUGUUAGAUAAAAGCUUUUCCCAGACUUAACAUGAGAUAGUAGAGUAGUAAUCGAAAAUUUUCACACUAAGACAUCAAGACAGGAAUACGAGUGCGAGCUCCAACACGUAAUGACUCCCCCGGAGGCACCCUCCGCUUCAAGAUAGGCACACUUGUUAAGAAGAGAGCCACCAAAACCACGCAAGAAAGAGCCAGACACUGAACUCACUUUCGACUCUUGCAAACAAACUACCACACUACUCAGCUUAGACAGUACCGCCCUAACGGCGUUAUGCUUAGAGAGGCUGUUAAGUCCUUUUACAUUCCAGCUACAAACACUAAUCAUAGAAAAAAGAAGAGACACCCAACCUAGUAAAACCCCAAAAUGGUGCCUACGAUCCCGAACCAACAGUCCGCCUACACACGCAAAGUCAGGAACUUGGCGAAAUCCUUCGCCUCGUCUUCUGCCAAUUUCACACCACAUCUGCGGCUCUUGCCAAUGAGUUUCUUAAUGAUGCAGUCGACCCCACUCCCAUCUCCGCCCUCGCAUUGGAUGGCCUUCCUUGACAUUGCCUGAUACAGCACUGGAGUCUUCCCAGCAUGCUCGAGUCGCUUGCUGACCCGAGGAACAAAACGAUCCGUCGAGGCAUUCCCAUUAACCGGUGGUGCAGUUCCAUGGUUAUGCUCUCCCUAGCCCUCGACCCGGCCCUUGUGGCCAUCGCUCGCCGCCCUGGAGAACCCAGUCAAAGAGAAAAACUCCGAUUGUAGCCCCAGCACCUCCUCUCUGUAGUCAAAAGAAACUCCCUCCCUUUUGCCACUAUCCCGUAUCAGCGGUAACAUGCUGGCCGUCCCCUAUCCAAAAACUACUGUACGUGCGGCUACCCACACAGUCCACCGUUGAAGAAAAUUCAAGCCCAAGGCCCACCCACCAGUCCCAGCGUCGCCCACAAACAGUAAAGGGCCCGGAGUUGGUUCUGGGGCUAGAAAGCAGGCCUACAGCCCUACUGUUAGCCCAAAUCCAUAGAAAAAGACCCGCUUCCUGCCACAGCCACUAUUGCACACAGAGUCCAUCUUUAGCCCCGUGUCGGAACUCGUCAUCAGUUGCUGGCUCGUCUAUCGAGGCCUCGGCAUCGGUAGAAGACGUAGGUCAAAACAUUCCUCGGGACCCUCAACUUUGGGACCUGCAAAAAGCACCUCCCAAGUCUCCAUCCCUAGCAAAGGUGGGGAGUUAUUAUGCUCCCUAACCCCUUUCAACCCAGACACCAUCUUCGUGCAAUCUUUGGGAAAGUCCCUCCUCCCUACCUGCUUCGAUCCCGACGCUUCUCCAACCUCGAAAACAGCGCCGGCCUUGCCCGUUGGCCGUCGAGUUCUCCCGCCUUACGCCUUCGUCCACCCCGUCAACCGGCUAUCUCCUCCCCCGUUUGGCAUCUUCCAGCUGGAAUCACGACGGACUCGAAACCCAGACCUCCCAGGUUUCGUCGUCCCUCCGCUCGCCGACUUGGAACAUCAGGUCACCCCGACCUCGUUAGUCGUGCGGGUCUGCUGCGGAGACCCCACUUCCUCGAGCUCCCCCGCUUCGUCGUCCAAGUCGUCGUUCGCGUUCGCUUGGCCGGUUUCAUUUUGUUGUCCGUUAUCUGCUUCUUCCUCGUCCACCUCCCCUCCCUCAGGCCCAUUUUGCGGAGGGAUCGGUGGAUCACCUCCCCCUCCUGCUUCCAUCCUCUCCCAACUGUCCAGCAGGACCAUGACAUCAAAAGUUUCAUUACCUAAUACUACUGAAAAGUUUUGAGGAAUAUCCAUCAGCGAAUCAAACACGAUCUGGCACCGAUAAGCUCGGAGGUCCGUCAAGGCUUUAGAAGUGGCAUCUGCCUUCACGAACCUCCCAAACCCACUUACAAUUGCCGCCACACGGGGGAUCGUCCAAAUCUCGAAGGGCAGGUUAAGCAGACGGAUCCAUGCUCGGUACGUCGAUCUAUGCGGGCGGGCGUUCCAGUAUUGCCUCCACGGAUAGCACCUAAUCCAGAAAUUGCCAAGCGUGAGCACCUCCCUUCUAAUUAGGACGUCCGCCGGGACCCAUUCAAGUAGGAAUAUCACAUACUCCCUGUGACGCCCCAACUUCCUAGGGGGUCACCCAUCCUAGGACUACUCCCGUCCUAGCACGCUUAACUCUCUUAACCUCUUGGGCCUUGCCACCACCCAAAAUGUUUAAGUUGGGUUAAGAGUUUAGCCCUAUUAUAUCUCAUAUAUAGGACUAUCUGGGGUCUCACAAUCUCCCCUCCUUUAAGCCCUGACGUCCUCGUCAGGCUCAGACUCACAAGUACCAGGCGAUGUGAGACUCAUCUCGCUAGCCCGUCAUCCAGACCCUGGCUCAGCCGAGACUCAUCUCACACUUCCGGCUGGUAAUUGGCUCUGAUACCAUCUGUGACGCCCCAACUUCCCAGGGGGUCACCCAUCCUAGGACUACUCCCGUCCUAGCACGCUUAACUCUCUUAACCUCUUGGGCCUUGCCACCACCCAAAAUGCUUAAGCCGGGUUAAGAGUUUAGCCCUAUUAUAUCUCAUAUAUAGGACUAUCUGGGAUCUCACACUCCCUCUCCCUAUAUCUUGCGACCGCAAAGUCGUCAACGUAUCCCCCGAAUUGCCUAGCUAACGCCGCUUUGAUGGAAGAGAUUGGGUCAGGUCGCAGAAUCGCCUAUGUAUUUAAUAUAUAUUUAAUAAUAAUAUGAAUGAGGCUACUGUACUAUGUAUACUACUGUAGCUUUGGUACUAUAAUUUUAUUUUCGAUCUUAGGGUGUUAAAAUCAAUAAUUCACACUAUCAAAUAUGAUCUAUGAUAUAUGAAGUUGUUAGAAAUAAAAUUUUAAUUUUUUUCAACAUCGUUUACUUAGUAAGUAAAUCAUGUCAAAAUGAACGGUAGAAAUUAAAUAAUCUUUAAAAUUUAAGGAUAGAACUUUUGAAUUUAAAAUUAUGGAUCCAGACUUUGAUCUAGAUAAUUUAAAAUAUUUUCUAUCAAAAUUUGAAUAAAUUUAGAUUCUUUUACACUGUCAAACUAUAAACUCACCGUAGUAGCCAUUAAAAAUUAACAAGUUUGAAAUAUAAAAUUCUAUUUCUAAAAAUUUUAAAUAUCAUAGAUCAGUUUUAACAGUGUAGUUCGUUAAUUUAAAUACCCUAAAAUCAAAAAUGAUACGAUAGUACUGGAGCCCCGAUAAGUUAAAUAGUAUAGAAGCCUAGUCCAUAAUAUAUACUAGGCCUUUUUGCAUAAAAAAUCCACUUAUUUUGGGCUUUUGCAAAAUCGGGUCACUUUUUUCGUUUUUGCAGAUUCGGUCCGUUUUUUAGUAAACUGACCAAAAUAUCCUUAUUACUUUUUCUCUUUCCUCUUUCUCUCUCCUCUUCGUUUCUUCCGUUAUUUUUUUUUUCUUCUUUUUUCGAGCCCCUCCUCGCCUCCGCAAGCCGAACCCUCCUCCUCCCCCCGCCGUCGCCGCCGAGCCCACCCCACCGUCAUCUCGCCUCCUCUUCUCUCUCCUCUCUUUCUUUCCUCCUCACCUCCCCGUCGCCUCUCUCAGAGCCCGCCUGCUGAAGCUCCGCGUGCUCCUCUCUCCGGCCUCAACAAGUCCGAAACACGUCGCCGCGAUCAGUCACCGAAGUUGCUAGGGCGCGAGUAAGGCUCCUCGUCAAAGCCUCCAAGGCGAGGCAGUCCCGAGUCUCCCUUUCACGCGGAAGGCUCUCGCCGCCGAAGCCCUCCUCCCUCUCCCCCGCCGCCGCCAGCCGAGCCCCACCCCCACGAUCGUCCUCCACUCGCCUGUCGCGUCGCCAAAGCACGGUUCCGCCCUUGCGACGCCUCAUCACAAUCCUUGCUAGCCCUCGUCACCCCCGACGGUCGUCCUCCGUCCGCCGUCACGUCGUCUCCGUUGCUGUCGCCAAGCUCCAGCCCAAUAAUGUGUUGUGGUUGAAUUGUGCACCAUUGCACCAUCCUACACCAGUUAAAUGAUGCAUGGUGCACCAUUAAUGGUGUCGUGUGUAAUGGUGCAAUGUGCCCACCAUUAGUGUAAUGGUUGCACCCAUUGCACCUUACACAUAUCAAUGCGUUAUGUAAUAUCAUGGUGUAUGGUGUAUAUGGUGCACCAAUUAGCUGUAAUGGUGCACCCAUUGCACCAAUUAACCAUUAUUGAUUACCACAUAAUGGUGUAAUGCCUGCACCAUUACCACUAUUGAAGAAGAAGAAGAAGCUUGCGCUGCAGGCGCGCCCGCGUGUCCGCCCGUCGCCGCCUGCAGUGCACGCCCCGCCCGAACCUCUGACCCGCACCGCGGCUGCCAGCGCCGCGCCGCCAAGGAGCAGCCCGCGAUGCAGCCGCCUUCCCCCGCCUUGCGCGACGCCUCAAGCCGGCUGUCGUCGGCCCCGCGGCCCGGGGGCCGACAGAUCGGCAGCGAAACCCAAGCAGCAGCCGGAGCGAGCGUCCGACCGGCCUUGCGCGAAUGGCGAGUGCAAAGCAGGCGACGCCGGUACGCUGUCGGACCGGACAGUCGGCCGGGGCCAAUCCGGGAUCGCCUCCGCUUCCAGCCCGCCAGGCGAAGAACUCCGCCAGCCUCUUCCUCCGCCGCAGCCGCGCGACAGCGACGUACACUCGCGUACGGCUGGGCGGCAGACGAGUGGUUCCUGGCAACGGAGACGGACGUUCGACGGCGGCCAUGGGGGCCGCCGCGCCAUCGGCAGUGGAUCUCGCGGCGACGCGACGGAUCGACAAAGAACCCGGUGGGGGGGUGGCUCCGGCAGCCGGCCAGCGUGGAUAAGGAUGGAGGUUCGUGCGGCGCGGCUGGAGAGUGAGGGUCGAGUGCAGGAGGCAACGUGUUUGAAGACAGCGAGGGUGAGUACGGGGGCGACGGUCCGAUCGCCACUCUUUUUUUCGGGCAAAGAAAAAAAAAGAACGACAAAAUCGAUAGAGGAUAAGAGAAAGAGGGGAAAGAGGAAAAAGUUAAUACAGGGUAUUUGGUCAGUUUGCUGAAAACUGCGGACCGAAUCUGCCCCAAAGAAAAAGGUGGCCGAUUUUGAAAAGUCCAAAAUAACGUGGAUUUUUUAUGCAAAUUGGCCUAUAUACCUAAUUUUUAAUAUAAUUAAAAUAUAAUCAUCAUACCUACAGCAAAGUAUGAUUGCAUCCGCUAGUUUAAGACUAUGGAUGUAGCAAAAUGUGGACAACACACAUGUUGGCAGGUAAAAAUGUACUGGAGACCUUCAAUAUAGGAAAUGUGAAAUAGACCCUCAGCUUUAAUAUUUUUUUUUUUUUUUUUCGUGCGCAAGCUUGGCUUCAUAUGUUUAGCGGUAAAUAUUUGGUGGCAGAACCGCUGUCGCAAAGAUAAGCAUUUUAAAAUUAUAAAAUUAAUUUCUAGAAUAUUUAAAAUAUAUUUAAUAUAUUAAUGGUAAUAAAUCGUUAUUAUCAGAAACUAUAUUAUCCCAAAAUAACUUGGUGAAUAGCCGACACCAAAUUGUUACUAAUAUNNNNNNNNNNNNNNNNNNNNNNNNNNNNNNNNNNNNNNNNNNNNNNNNNNNNNNNNNNNNNNNNNNNNNNNNNNNNNNNNNNNNNNNNNNNNNNNNNNNNNNNNNNNNNNNNNNNNNNNNNNNNNNNNNNNNNNNNNNNNNNNNNNNNNNNNNNNNNNNNNNNNNNNNNNNNNNNNNNNNNNNNNNNNNNNNNNNNNNNNNNNNNNNNNNNNNNNNNNNNNNNNNNNNNNNNNNNNNNNNNNNNNNNNNNNNNNNNNNNNNNNNNNNNNNNNNNNNNNNNNNNNNNNNNNNNNNNNNNNNNNNNNNNNNNNNNNNNNNNNNNNNNNNNNNNNNNNNNNNNNNNNNNNNNNNNNNNNNNNNNNNNNNNNNNNNNNNNNNNNNNNNNNNNNNNNNNNNNNNNNNNNNNNNNNNNNNNNNNNNNNNNNNNNNNNNNNNNNNNNNNNNNNNNNNNNNNNNNNNNNNNNNNNNNNNNNNNNNNNNNNNNNNNNNNNNNNNNNNNNNNNNNNNNNNNNNNNNNNNNNNNNNNNNNNNNNNNNNNNNNNNNNNNNNNNNNNNNNNNNNNNNNNNNNNNNNNNNNNNNNNNNNNNNNNNNNNNNNNNNNNNNNNNNNNNNNNNNNNNNNNNNNNNNNNNNNNNNNNNNNNNNNNNNNNNNNNNNNNNNNNNNNNNNNNNNNNNNNNNNNNNNNNNNNNNNNNNNNNNNNNNNNNNNNNNNNNNNNNNNNNNNNNNNNNNNNNNNNNNNNNNNNNNNNNNNNNNNNNNNNNNNNNNNNNNNNNNNNNNNNNNNNNNNNNNNNNNNNNNNNNNNNNNNNNNNNNNNNNNNNNNNNNNNNNNNNNNNNNNNNNNNNNNNNNNNNNNNNNNNNNNNNNNNNNNNNNNNNNNNNNNNNNNNNNNNNNNNNNNNNNNNNNNNNNNNNNNNNNNNNNNNNNNNNNNNNNNNNNNNNNNNNNNNNNNNNNNNNNNNNNNNNNNNNNNNNNNNNNNNNNNNNNNNNNNNNNNNNNNNNNNNNNNNNNNNNNNNNNNNNNNNNNNNNNNNNNNNNNNNNNNNNNNNNNNNNNNNNNNNNNNNNNAUUCGAAAGUCGCAACAUCGAAAAUGAGCUGGAAGCAUGGAAGGCUCCGUGCUUCCGAUAGCAUAGUAGCCUCUCUCUCUCUCUCUCUCUCUCUCUAUAUAUAUAUAUAUAUAUAUUUAUAUAUUACAUUACUUUUGUUUUUUAAAAAAUAUUGAUUUAAACUAUUCAGAUGUUGUUUAAUUUUCUUAAAAAAGUCAUGUAAAACUUUUUUUGGUUAAAUAACUGCACAUAUUUUAUAAAAUUAAUGUUAUAAAUUUUUAAAUAAAAAUUAAAAAAAGACAAAAAUAAGCUGGUCCAUGGCCCGAGACUGUUCGGCCUGGUUUAGAUUUGUUUCGACUAGGGCCCAUAUCGGCCCAUGGUUAAGGAAAAAGUGGCCCGGCUUGUAGAGAUGUCGAUGGGUCGGUUUCGGGGGGAAUUUUUCAAAACCUGAAAAAAGAUAAUUCGAUGGGUCGGUUUCGGGGCGAUAUGGUCACGAACUGUGAUUCGAUUGAUGAUGAAAAAAGAGAAUUCUUGGUUUAGUUCUCCACCUUAAUGACCGAAAAAAGGAUCGAUCAAAUUCUACCAGUCUAACUCAUAAUGAUCAUAUAUCAAAGAAUGAUUCUAAUUAUCAAAUGAUUAAAUAAUCGGGAUCAAUUUACUUACGUUACGUUACUUGACAUUCCUAAAAAGUAUCUAAUGAAUUAUUAGUUCAAUCCCUAAUCCCAAUCCAUGCCAUGCCAUGCCAAGCUGGCCAAUAGAGAUGUCAAUGGCAUGAUCAGAAAAUCUCAAUAUAAGGACACUUUUUAGACAACACAUAAGAAAAGCAUUCCCAGAACGUCUAUACAAUAUAGCAAAUACCGAGCUUCAAAAAAUGUCGUUAUAUGAACUCUUUAUUGUAUCGAACCAAUUUAUUAAAUGAUAAUUUUCUAAUACUUUAAAGUGUCAAAAUUUUAAAAAAUCCUGUAAAAUAUAUUUUAUCGAUGCUUGACAUAUAUGUACGCGGUGACUCUUCAGUUGUUGAUGGUUUCAAAUUUAACGUUAGUCUACAUUGGGACACUUUUAACCAUCAUUAAUAAAUACAAAAAAAAAAUGUAUGGGGACCUCUCAAAUAUAGGGAUUUGUGAAGUAGGCCCCUCAGCUUUAAUUAUUAUUAUUAUUUUUUUUUUGUUGACACGCUUUAGCUUCUAUGUUUAGGUAAAUAUUUGUAGAGAACCCCAUGAACUAUAAGCAAUUUUGAAAUUAUAAAAUUUAGUUUCUAGAAUAUUUAAACAUUUUAAAAUAUAUUUAAUAUUACUUUUGUUUUUUUUUUUAAUAUUGAUUUAAACUAUUCAGAUUUUGUUUAUUUUUUCUUAAAAAAGUCAUGUAAAACUUUUUUUUGGCUAAAUAACUGCACAUAUUUUAUAAAAUUAAUGUUAUAAAUUUUUAAAUAAAAAUAAAAAAAGGAAAAAAAAGACAAAUAUAAGAUGACCCAUGGCCCGAGACUGUCCGGCCCGGUUUAGAUUUGUUUCGACUAAGGCCCAUACCGGCCCAUGUUUAAGGAAAAAGUGGCCCGGCUUGUAGAGAUGUCGAUGGGUCGGAUUCGGGGAGAGUUUUUCAAAACCUGAACCUGAAUCCGUACCGACAGAUUUUAAAAAUUUAUAUCCUAAUCUGAAUCUUACCAAAAAGACGAAACCCAAAACUGAAUCCAAACUCGAAAUAAUUAUUUUUCUUUACCAUAUUUCAAAUUAUAUUAAAACCUAAAUUUUUAAAAUACAAAUUCAAAUAUAAUAUCAAAUACUAUAUAUAUUCUAUUAAAAAAUAUAAAAUUAAUUCAGGUUCAAGUCUGAUAGGAUAAAAUUCAGAUUAGGCUCUAAUCAAAUUCAUAUUAAUCACGAUAAAAUAAGUUACGUCAGCUCCAAAUAAAGUCCUACCUACUAAUAUAGAUUACGGUUAUGAUUAAAUAGCUUCAGAUCAAUCUUGUCUCGAUAUUAAUUUUUCUAACUUUUGAAAGAAUAUGAUAACACUCGUAACUCGACGUUGAGGAUGCCUACUACUCCAAAAGAGAUAGCAGGUGUCGUGUACAAUGUCGAAGCAUUGGUAGACGUAUAGAAAAAUAUUGAGAGUGAUAAGAUCGCGCUUGGCAUGAUGGGUGAGCGUAUGGGAGAGAAAAUUAAUUCUAAAGGUUAAGGAGCUCCUUCUAAAGAGAUCGAAGGUUUUUUAGGGUUCAUAUAGAAGUGUCAUGUGGGGCCCAUAUAUUUUUUUUGGGGGGUUGAACUGAGAGAUCUAUUCAUUGAUCAAAAAAAGAAAAAAUGUGAACGGUGACUAAACUGAUGAUAAAAUAAAAUCCUAGGUCAUGAACUGUGAUUCGAUUGAUGAUGAAAAAAGAGAAUUCUUGGUUUAGUUCUCCACCUUAAUGAUAGAAAAAAUGAUUGAUCAAAUUCUAUCAGUCUUACUCAUAAUGAUCAUAUAUCAAAGAAUGAUUCAAAUUAUCAAAUGAUUGAACAAUCAUGAUCAAUUUACUUACGAUACUUAGUUGACAUUCCUAAAAAGUAUCUAAUGAAUUAUUAGUUCAAUCCCUGAUCCCAGUCCAUGCCAUGCCAAGCCGGCCAAUAGAGAUGUCAAUGGUACUAUCAAAAAAUCUCAAUAUAAAGACACUUUUUAGAUAAUGCAUGAGAAAAGCAUCCCCACAACGUCUCUGCAUUAUAUCAAAUACCGACGCUUCAAAGGAUGUCGUUAUAUUAACUCUUUAUUUUAUCAAACUAAUUUAUUAAAUGUUAAUUUUCUAAUGCUUUCAGGCGUCAAAAUUUUAAAUAAUCCUGUAAAAUAUAUUUUACCGAUGCUUGACAUAUAUAUACGCGGCGACUCUUCAUUUGUCGAUACUUUCAAAUAUAACGUUAGGCUACAUCGGGACACUUUUAACCAUCAUUAAUAAAUACAAAAAAAAUGUAUGGAGACCUCUCAAAUAUAGGGAUUUGUGAAAUAGACCCCUCAGCUUUAAUUAAUUAAUUAAUUUUUUUUGUUGACACGCUUUAGCUUCUAUGUUUAGCCGUUUAGGUAAAUAUUUGUAGAGAACCCCAUGACCUGUAAGCAAUUUUGAAAUUAUAAAAUUUAGUUUCUAGAAUAUUUAAAUAUUUUAAAAUAUAUUUAAUGGUAUGGACUGUUAUUUCAGAAACUCUAUCAUCGAAAAUAACUUGUGAGUACAUACAAAUUGUACUAAUAUAGUAUAGUAGCCUCUCUCUCUCUCUCUCUCUCUCUCUCUCUCUCUUUAUUUUCUAAGUACUUCAAAUACUAUAAAUCAAGUUUAAUGGAGCCGAUCGACGAUUCGAAAGUCGCAACAUCGAAAAUGACCUGAAAGCACAGAAGCUCCGUGCUUCCAGAAGCAUAAUAGCUCACUUUUAUAUAUAUAUAUAUAUAUAUUAUAUAUAUAUAUAUAUAUAUAUAUAUAUAUAUUAUAGCGUUGAGCUAUGAUAUUACUUUUACAGAGUAUCACCCAUCAUGGUGCUAUUAGGUUUUAAGCAUUGGAUCUACUUUUUUAUUAUUAAUAGCCCGUUAGAUUAAACACUAUUCUACCUACCACAACUACCACCAUCAUUUCAACCUCACAUCUCUCCAUCAAGGGCUAAAAAACACAAUAUCCACCCCAUGAUACUUUAUACAAGUAUUAUAGCCUACUCUAUAUAUAUUAUAUAUAUAUAUAUAUAUAUAUAUAUAUAAAUAAUAUAUAUAUAGCUAGGCUACUAUACUCUUAUGAGUACAGCUCCUUUUGUAUCAUAAUUUCCGACCAUUGAUGAAGAAUGUGCGAUUUGAUGAUAGUGGUCCCUAGGGUUUGAGUGGAUGGUUGUGUUGAAUAGCAUGAUCUAACGGAUGAAAAUGAUCAAGAACUAGAUCUAGCGACCAAAACUUAUAAGUACAAAGGAACUACUUAAAAGAAGUAUAGUAGCCGGACUUAUAUAUUAUAUAUACUAUAUAUAUAUUACUUUUGUUUUUUUAAAAAUAUUGAUUUAAACUAUUCAGAUUUUGUUUAAUUUUCAUAAAAAAGUCAUGUAAAACUUUUUUUUGGCUAAAUAACUGCACAUAUUUUAUAAAAUUAAUGUUAUAAAUUUUUAAAUAAAAAUAAAAAUAAAAGAAAAGAAAAGACCAAAAUUAGCUGACCCAUGCCCCGAGAUUGUCCGGCCCGGUUUAGAAUUAUUCGACUAGGGCCCAUAUUGGCCCAUGGUUAAGGAAAAAGUGGCCCGGCUUGUAGACAUGUCGAUGGGUCGGAUUCGGAGGGAGUUUUUCAAAACUGAACCUGAAUCCGAACCGACAGAUUUUAAAAAUUUAUAUCCUAACCCGAAUCUGACCAAAAAGACAAAGCCCAAAUCUGAACCCAAACUCGAAAUAAUUAUUUUUCUUUUCAUAUUUCAAAUUAUAUUCAAACCUAAAUUUUUAAAAUACAAGUUCAAAUAUAAUAUCAAAUACUAUAUAUAUUAUAUAAUAUAAAAUUAAUUCAGGUUCAAGUUGGAUAGGAUAAAAUUCAUACCCGACUCUAAUCAAAUUCACAUUAAUCGCGAUAAAAUAAGCUACGUUAACUCCAAAUAAAGUCCUACCUACUAAUAUAGAUUACGGUUAUGAUCAGAUAGCUUCAGAUCAAUCUUGUCUCGACAUUAAUUUUUCUAACUUUUGAAAGAAUAUGAUAACACCCGUAACUCGACGUUGAGAAUGCCUACUACUCCAAAAGAGAUAGCAGGUGUCGUGUACAAAGUCGAAACAUUGGUGGACGCAUAGAAAAAUAUUGAGAGUGAUAAGAUCGCGCUUGACAUGAUGGGUGCGCGUAUGGGAGAGGGGAUUAAGGCCCAAAGUGCAAAAUACAAUUUGUAAAGGUUAAGGCUUUGAUUGCAAAAACUAAAAGAUUGGAUGCCAAGAGAAAAUUAAUUCUAAAGGUUAAGGAGCUCCUUCUAAAGGGAUGGAAGGUUUUUUUAGGGUUCAUGUAGAAUUGUCAUGUGGAGCCCACAUAUUUUUUUGGGGGGGUUGAACCGAGAGAUCUAUUCAUUGAUCAAAAAAAGAAAAAACGUGAACGGUGACUUAAACUGAUGAUAAAUAAAAUCCUCGAUCACGAAUUGUGAUUCAAUUGAUGAUGGAAAAAGAGAAUUCUCGGUUUAGUUCUCCACCUUAAUGACAGAAAAAAAAAUUGAUCAAAUUGUAUCAAUCUAACUCAUAAUGAUCAUAUAUCAAAGAAUGAUUCUAAUUAUCAAAUGAUUGAAUAAUCGGGAUCAAUUUACUUACGAUACUUAGUUGACAUUCCUAAAAAGUAUCUAAUAAAUUAUUAGUUCAAUCCCCGAUCCCAAUCCAUAUCAUGCGAAGCCGGCCGGUAAGGAUGUCAAUGGCACUACCAAAAAAUUUCAAUAUAAGAACACUUUUUAGACAACGCAUGAGAAAAGAAUUCUCAAAACGUCUCUACAAUAUAGCAAAUACCGACGCUUCAAAGAAUGUCAUUAUAUGAACUCUUUAUUGUUUCAAAUCAAUUUCUUAAAUGAUAAUUUUCUAAUACUUUAAAGCGUCAGAAUUUCAAAAAAUCCUAUAAAAUAUAUUUUACCCAUGCUUGGUAUAUAUAUGCGCGGUGACUCUUCACUUGUCGACGCUUGCAAAUGCAACGUUAGACUAUAUUGAGACACUUUUAUCCUUAAAUGUUACUAUUUUUGUAGUGUGGGUAAUUAAGGAUGUCCGAAAUUUAAUCCAAACGCAAAUUCAAACUUGGCGAGUUUAUCAAAUACUGAACCGAUAUGAUUUUGAAUAUGGGUAUAAAAGAAGAAAACUAGAUAGGUAGCUAUAUUUCUAUUUAAAAUAGCUAUCUAACCAUUCAAAAUUUUAAUUUUACUAUAUAAUCUAAUAAUUUAUUUGAUUUGAAUCAGUCAACGUACAGUACUUUAACUUCAAAUUUUGAAUACAUUAUUUAUCUUUACAGAUUUAAUUAGUACUUUAUACAAUUCUUUUAACUAUAAAUUCAUUAAAAUGAAUAAUUUGCUUAUAUUUUAAAAUUAAUAUAUCGUUGACCGACUCAAAUCAAAUAAAUUGAAAGAUUGAGUAAUAAUAUUAAAAUUUUAAAAUAUAGUGUAGUUGUUUCAAAAUGGUACAAAGUUUAAAUAAGUUCUGAUGGCCUUUACCUUUUAAAAAUCUAAAAAAGAAAAUAAACUCUUAUAUUAGAUUAAGGGAAAGAAUAUGUACAACUAUUGUUUGAAUGUACAGAUAGAAUUUCUCAAAAGAAAAAAAGAAAAAACUAAAAUCUACAAAAAUGCUGGGUUGUCUCAAAACGAAAAAAAAAAAAAAAAAAUCUGAACUAUGGAUCAUUUUUAAUUGGUGAACUAUGGAUAAUUUUUAGUUGGUUAUCUAUUUUUCAAAAUUUUAAUUUUACUAUCCAGGCUUUUAAUUUAUUUGAUUUGAGUCAAUUAACGAUAUUUAACUUAAAAAUUUGAAUACGUCAUUUAUAUUUACAAGUUGAAUUAAUAUACUUCGAGCAAUUAUCAUAAUUAUAAAUUUAUUAAAAUAAGUAAUUAGGUUAAAUAUUGAAGUCAAAAUAUUAUUAACUGAUUCAAAUCAAAUAAAUUUGGGUAGUAAACCUGAAUACUCUAUUCAAAAUGAUCCAAAAUUCAAACAAAAUUUGUACGUUUUUAUUAAAAAAUAAAAAAUCCAUUGACACUAAAUCUAGGAAAAAGAAAAUAAAAAAAAUAAAGGACAUGCCGUGCAAUAAAGAAAGUCUACAAUGUCAUAUUUGCACCACAUUAGCAAUAACAAGCUAGUCACAUCUUUUCUUUUGCAAAAAAAGUACAAUAAAAAUAUUUUUUAUAAUUAUAAUGUGAUGGAUCAAUCAAAAAAAUAUUUUUUUAAUUGAUUGGAGACGCCACGUCAGUAAUAUAUCACUAAUAUAUUUGGUGCAUUUUAAAAUUUUUUCACGCAACUUAGUAUCUGAAACCAACCGAUAAAGAGGGCAUGUCACAUUACUAAACAGCUUAAGAUGUAACAUAAUAUCAAGAUGUGUCACAUAACAUCAAAGAGUUUUUUUAUUUUAUUUUCUCUUUUUUGUUAUUAAAGGGACACAAAACAUCCAGGUGUCACUUUGUAUACUUAUCAUGUUUAUAACUGUAUAAACCAACAAAGUCAUUGGUGACACAUGGGACCAUAGUCAUAAUUAAAAAAUGUUUUCUUGGUUACCUAAUGUUUUGGAGUGUUACACACGUGUCAAACAAAAAAGAACAAAAAUACGCCUGUAUUAUUCCAAUAAUAAUAAUAAUAAUAAAUAAUAUUAUUUACAUAAGGAUAAUAAUGUCAAAUGACUUCAUAUGUGACACUUCUUCUGGAAGAUGGAUAAUUAAGUGCUAAACAUAUAUUAUACUAGCAACUAACCCGUGCAAUGCACGGAUUUUAAAUUUAUCUUUUAAUUACAUUUUUGAUAUAAUAUAUAUUAAUUUUUACAUAUUAAGUUUUUCUAAUAUAUUUUUAUUACAAUUUUUAUAUAAUAUAUAUUAAUUUUUACAUAUUAAGCUUUUAUUAGAAAAAUUAUUGAAUCAAAUUAAAAUAAAUACUAUCAUGAUAUACUAAUAGAUUGUAAGUAAAUAAUUUAAAAUGAAAAGAUUUUAAAAUGAAAAAGUAAAAAGGUUCAAAUCCAUUAAAAAUUUAACAUAAUUAUUAUUUAUAUAUUUUUUAAUACACAAUAUUGAAAUGGCGAAGAAAAUUAAUUUUAUUUCAAAUUCUUAAUGACUAAUUCUGUAAAGUUAUUUUUUGAAGGAUUUAAAGUGACUAAAUUUGAAAAGUAAUUUUUU
This 30062-nucleotide long non-coding RNA is filed under the name Ananas comosus (pineapple). RNAcentral describes it as "long non-coding RNA (ACOM_LNC033003)". Lineage: Eukaryota; Viridiplantae; Streptophyta; Magnoliopsida; Poales; Bromeliaceae. The record is from RNAcentral.